Molecule: RNA transcript, 2208 nt
Organism: Polypterus senegalus (gray bichir)
Lineage: Eukaryota; Metazoa; Chordata; Cladistia; Polypteriformes; Polypteridae
Gene name: phosphatidylinositol 4-phosphate 5-kinase type-1 alpha-like
Exons: 2
Source: RefSeq, a predicted model, not a curated record
UUGUAUGAACUCCUGGACAUUGCUAGAAAAGCCAAAUGCAAGGUUCUGAACGGGAAAAAUGGAACAUAACAAUUCAGAACAUCUGCUGCCUCCGAUACCCAGGCUGUAGUACCAGACGCCUUCGUUGACAGCGGUGCCGAGAAACAGAUGAUAACAACUUCCAAAAUUCCUGGCCCCUCCAGACGGAAUAACGGGCACUCGGAGAAAAGGGACGGCCGCAAAGGAAUUGAAUGUAUCGGGAAGAGUGUUUUGAAAAAUGGCACGUCUUCCUCCGUGAAGGGAGCCAUACAGCUGGGCAUUGCACACACCGUGGGUGGAAUUGGUCAGAAAGCUGACCGGGAUGUGCUGAUGCAGGAUUUUUAUGUAGUCGAGAGUACUUUCUUUCCUGGACAGGGUUGCAGCUUGACUCCGGCGCACCACUACGGUGAUUUUCAUUUCAAGACCUACGCCCCUUUUGCAUUUCAGUACUUCAGAGAACUUUUUGGGAUUAGUCCAGUUGACUACUUGUACGCCUUGUGCAACGAGCCAUUGAUUGAGCUGUCUAAUCCAGGUGCUAGUGGCUCACUGUUCUUCGUCUCCAGCAAUGACGAGUUUAUUAUCAAGAGCGUGCAACACAAGGAGGCAGAGUUCUUGCAGAAGCUUUUGCCAGGAUAUUACAUGAACCUCAACCAGAACAAGUGCACCCUACUUCCCAAAUUCUAUGGGCUGUAUUGUAUGCAGACUGGUGGAAGGAAUAUUCGUCUUGUGGUCAUGAAUAACUUUCUGCCAUGCUCUGUAUGCAUGCACCUUAAAUAUGACCUCAAGGGCUCGACCUUCAAGCGGCGGGCGUCUUCCAAGGAGCGAGAGAAAACACUGCCCACUUUCAAAGACCUGGACUUCAUGAAAGACCACCCUGACGGGCUUUUCCUGGAUUCUGAUAGGCACAACGCCCUCUGCAAGACCAUCCAGCGAGACUGCCUAGUACUGCAGAGUUUCAAGAUCAUCGACUACAGCCUCUUGGUAGGAAUUCAUAUCCUAGAUCAGAUGCAACCAGAAAAAACAACAGAAAUGGUCGAGGGCAGCAGUAGUCCACAAGAACAAUGCGAGUCCACUAGACAGAAGGUACUUUAUUCCAAGAUAAAGGAUUUGGUCCAGAAAGAUGGCUGUGCUGGGGGAAUAAUUGAGACCAAAGACAAAAGGCGAGGUAUCCCAGCAAAAAAUUCCAAGGGCGAGCAACUGCUGGUCUACAUCGGCAUCAUCGAUAUCCUUCAGUCAUACAGGCUGGUAAAGAAGUUGGAGCAUUCCUGGAAAGCACUUUUCCAUGAUGGGGACACCAUUUCAGUCCACAGACCAGGUUUCUAUGCCGAGAGGUUUCAGAAGUUCAUGUGCACUAAAGUCUUCAAGAAGAUCCCGGCAAAAACCCUCCCUUCCAAGAAGAAGCCACGCAAAGGACGGAGUGGGAGCAGGACUAUUACAGACGAAGAGGCAAGCACAUCAGCCUCUAUACAUUCACUCCGUUCUGCUCAUACCUGUAAAAAUGUGAACUACAUUAACGACCAGUCAGAUGCAGCCAAAAGAGAAGGAGAGACAAAGCAGGAAGAUGUCUCCAUCAAUUCUGAACCAGUGGACCUCUCCAGUGGAACAUGCAGCCAGGCAACCAGCUCUCCUUGUAGCUCCAGUAGCUUCCAGGUAGACAUUUUGAAAAGGGAAGGGGGAUUGGAGCAGGAAGUCUUCGCAACCUUAUCUACUCUGGUAGACCCAUCAUAUGAACCAACCAACCAGACCACUGGCUCUCUUAUUUGCUCCGUUGAUGUUGAGCCAUGCAUAGCAGAAAGAGGAGGAGGAGAAAAGGAAAGUCUCAGGACCCAAUCUGCUCCAGUCAUCUCGUCCUUUGGACCAAGCAACACCAUGAUAGAAGAGGCUUCAUUUCUGAAGAGGAUGAUAGGAUUUUAAUUUUAUACACAAUUCCUGAACAGGUUGCCCACAAAGGUGCUUUCUUUUUUUUCUAUUUCUGGGAGAAGUGAUAGCUCAGAAAUGGCUAAACUGUUGUGGGUGCCGAAUACACGCCUUCUGGGUGGGAAGGAACUGCACUCUGCUGGACAAUAGAACAGCUAAAGUGAAGCUGCAAUUCAAAGGUCUCCACAAAGUUAAUAACCUAAAAUUAUAAAAUGGAUGGUUGAAAGCAAAGGGGACUGCACUUUCUCCGGUCCUGUUCAAUCUAUAUACAUC